Molecule: long non-coding RNA, 5855 nt
Organism: Diceros bicornis minor
Lineage: Eukaryota; Metazoa; Chordata; Mammalia; Perissodactyla; Rhinocerotidae
Exons: 6
Source: RefSeq, a predicted model, not a curated record
UUCCUUCCUUACUCUGCCCAAAGGUGGGAUGGAACUGGGUUUUGAACCCAAGACUGAAUGAUAUAGGGGCUUUCUCCCCAUACAGCCCACUUAUGCUCACCCUUUUCUUAGCUGCAUUCUGCCUCUUCCAGUGGGCAGAAAAUAAAACACUGUUUUGAUUCUUAUUCAUUAUUUUUUGUGCUUCUAGUUCCCUCAGGAACCCCAAAAGGGAAAAUAGGGGGAGUAGCCAGGCAGGAUUAUGGCAUUCCAAGGCCCCUGACCCUAAUACCAUCAAUUCCAACUUUUAAUCCCAUCGUCUUUCCCUUGUACCAUCAAGGGGUACUUUAGAGCGAAGACUGGGCACGCAGGAGGAGUUGGGAAAUACAGCAAUGGCUAAAUGCCAUUCGGGGGAUAUUUUUAGUUACCUAAAUAAACUGUAUUUCCACAGUGUCUGCAGAACUUAUGGUUUGUGUGCAGUAAAUAAAGUGAUGGAAAUGCCACGAAGAAGCCCAGCCAGAUGACUCCAUUUGUGUGCAUUCUGUUCCAGAGGAGUCCUUUAAACAGCAGACGGGCUCCAUGUGACUCAGCGAAGGCGCACAAGCUGCUCUCCAGCACCGUAGCUUCUCUCCUAUUCCGGUUAUUGCAUGCCCAUCUCACCACACCACACAGUUUCCCAGAGUGGAAUUGCUACGUCAUAUGGUGACUCUAUUUAACUUUGGAUUUGACCAACAGAGUGUAUCAGGCUCUUGGGACCCUGCCACUGCUGCUGUGUGAAGAAGCCCAGGCUCUCCUGCUGGCUGAUCAGAGACCUGUGGCUCAGGGGCUCUUAUUGCGCCAGCUGACAGCCAGCCAACUUCCAAAAGCAGAGACGCCUAGCAGACUAGCAGCUCACUGACAUGGCUCAGCUAAGGAUGGCAGAAGACCAGCAAAAGAAAGGCCCAGCCCAAAUGCCAGCCCACACAACUAUUCUGAGCAAAUUCUGCUAAAUGGGGGACACUUUCAUCUCUAUUUUUGUGGAUAUUGAAAAGUAGAAGACUAUAUGGAUUUAUACAAUUAAUAAUAGGAGUGCCAUCCAAAGGACCUUCCCACAACAAGAUAUCCCAAAAUACAGUAAUAGAAUCUCAAAGUUAAAUCAGAACAAACGUCCGAGCUUUACUUUGAUUUCAAGAAAUAGAUGGAAAAAUAAAAUCAUCAUUGGUAUUAACUGAUUUUCCAUUUGAAACAUCUGAAAUCAUUGAUAAAAAUCUGGCAUCAUUUAACUGUGAAGUUCUUUUCUGCUAAUUGACUUUACACAGUAGCUGCAAUGGUAUGUGCACCAGAACAUUUGGAAUUGAAAAUGGGCAAAUGAAGAGUAAUCCUUUGGUCAAAAUGAAUAGCCUUGUUGCAUAGAGUGCUAGGUCUUCAUGGCUGCUGCUUAAAUUGUUAAAUUGUUAUCUUCAGCUACAGACUUUUUUAAAUGACAAAUUUUGAAGCAGAUACUGAUGCUUCUUUAGUAGGUUUGGUCUUCUGGUUUUCAGGUGGAAAAUGAUAUCAUAAGGACCCUCAUUGUACAUGGUAAAUAGUAACAAAUAUUUUGUGCAAAUUAUAUGUUCAUCAAUACCUUUCUUGAAGAAAGGAAACUCAGUGCUUAAUUUUUUAUUGAACAUGAACUUUCUGUGAGCUCGCUGCUACAAAAGCAUUUAUUGCAAAGUAAAAAAAGCUUUGCCAAACAAUAAAAUAAAUAAGUGGUUGAGAUUUACCCCAUAUCGUAAAUGACAAGAGCACUAUAAAAAGAACAUUCAGACUAUUUUCCACUUACUUUACAGAAGGCUUAUUGUCCAGCCUCUAUUUCCCACACAUAUUUCACAUAGUCUUAACCUAAAUUGUCUUUAGUUCCCACCAGCACCACUAAUUGGUGAACUGACUCGUUUGUGCAUUUCUCAGGCUGAUCACAGACCAUGCACUGCUAGAGGGCUCAUCAGGUGACUAGCUGAGUCAGCAGCAUCAAAUACUUGACUUACCACCGCAGCCCAGUUCUGGAAGGGGUUAGCUGUCCGAGGGAGAUUGUUUGCAGAGAAGGCCACAUCUUUGCAUUUCUCCCAUCAAGAAGUGAAGCCUAUUUCCUCUCCCCUUGAAUCUGGGAUAGCCCUGUGACUUGUUUUGACCAAUAGAAAGUAGUGGAAAUCUCCUUGUGGGAUUUCUGAUCAAGGCGUCAAGAUCCUUUACAGCUUCCUCUUUUACUCUCUGCGUUAUCCUGAGAUCACCAUGGCCAGGCUAGCUUCCUUGUGGAUGAAAGGCCACAUAAUGAGAGAGAAGUCCAGUUGUUAGCCAGUACCAAUUGUCAGACAUGUGAGUGAGACCAUCUUAGGCCAGCAGUUCUCAAAGUGCAGUCUGGUGACUUUUGGUGGUACCGGAGGCCCUUUCAGAGGGUCCAUGAGGUCAAAACUCUUUUCAUAGUAAUACUAAAACAUGUGCCUUCUUUGCUCUCAUUCUCUUGCAAGUGUACAUUAGAGUUUUCCAGGGGCUACAUAAUGUGUGAUGACAUCAUCACUCUGAUGGUUAAUAGAAAAUGUGUGCUUAUGUAUUCUUGUUCUUAAAAACUACCUAUUUUCUAAUAUGGUAAAUAUCAAUAGAUAUAACCCAGUUAAAUGAAAGCUCUUUGUGGUCCUCAACAAUUUUUAAGUGUGUAAAGGGAAUCUCAAGACCAAAAUGUUUGAUCACCAUUGUCUAGACCAUCUAGCACCAUUUGAGCCACCAGAUAACUGUAACCACAUGAGUGACCCCAGACUAGACCAGCAGAGGAACCAUUCAGCUGAGCCCAGCCUAAAUUGCUGACACACAGACUCAUGAGCAAAUAAAAUGGUGGUUGUUUUAAGUCACUAAGUUUUGGGGGUGGUUUGUUAGGCAGUUAUAGAUAACUAAUGCACUGUCUUUAGCUGCUCUAAUCUGAGAGCACUUCAUUUUAUCAGCUAGUGCUCUGCAUGCUGUCCUUAAAAGGGUGGUGGUAAUAAAUCUGUGUCUGGAAAAGACUGGAAAAGAAGCAGUUGGUUAUAAGUAACCAUGUUUAAUAUUUAAUCACUUUUUAAAGGGAGAAUUCUGUUCACUGCCUUUGGGUCUCACAUGCUACUGCGUGAGACCAUUGCAGAAGCUGGAAUUACAAGAUAGAAGUCUAGUAUAUCCAUUCAGCUUAUAUAAAUGCAUCUCUAAAUAGCAUUACUUCUAAAAUAGUGAAGCUCAUAGAAGCAGAGAGUAGAGUGGUAGUUGCCAGGGGCUGGGGGGAGAGAGAAAUGGGGUCAUGUUGGUCAAAGGGUACAAAGUUUCAGUUAUGCAAGAUGAAUAAGUCCUGGGGAUCUAAUGUACAGAAUGGUGAUGACAGUUAACAAUACUGCAUUGUAUACUUGAAAUUUGCUGAGGGGAUAGAUCUUAAAUUAAAUCUUCUUACCCCCCCCCCCACGCACAUACGUACACACACACUGGUGACGAUGUAGAGGUGAUGGAUAUGUUAAUUAGCCUGAUGUGAUGAUCUUUUCACAAUGUAUAGAUGUAUCAAAACAUCAAAUUGUGCACCUUAAAUGUAUGCAAUUUUAAAUGUCAAAAAGUUCUCAAUAAAGCUGUUAGAAAUAGUAUCACUAUAUUAAAAAUGAAAAAUCCAGAACAAAUGCUAAACUUGACAGGAGGCUAGGACAAUAGAUAUAAACUGGCCUGUCCCAAGCCAGAGUAUGUAUGGUUAUUUUAGCUCUAACCUACCAUCAACUGAAUAAUCCUGCCUGUGGUGGCAGUAAUGAUUUUGAAACAUACCAUGAGAAGUAGCAUUGAAUAAAAUUGUAAGUAGCUCAAGAAAUUAAAACACCAAAUGGGUUAGAAAGCAAAAAGGUCACAGUCGGCAUUUAAAGCAUCAUUGAGGGAAGAAUUUCGGGCUCUUUGUGAGCAGGAGGCAAUCAAACAUACCUGGUAGAGAGUAGGCUCUAGCGUCAGCUGACAUGGGUUUAAAUUCUGAUGAAUCUACCACUUAGUAGUUGGGAUUUUGGGCACAUCAUUUAACUCCAUGUGCCCCCUUUUUCCCUCAUCUGUAUCACGGAGAAAAUAAUUACCUAUCUCACAGAGUCCAUGUAAGGAUUAAAUGCAUAAUAUACAUAAUACAUUGAAAACAGUGCCUGGUCAAUAGCAAGUACUCAAUACAUGUUGUUUAUCAUCGUCCUCAGGCUCUUGAGAUAAGCAUUAGCGAAUACAGUGAACACUGGACUAGAAAAACCACAGAUCACAACUAGUAUAACAUUUCUUGUAGUUUAGGUACUUUAUUCUUUUAGGUUAUGUGAUCCAUUAAGCAGUAUUGAUGGACACUGACACUGCCAUUAAUGUUGGGUUGGUAGGUCACUAAAACAUCAACUCAUUUCGUGAAAAUAACCAACCAAACAAAAAACUGUCAUCAUUGGUUGGGUACACAACCAACGUGGCUUAAACAAAUAUUUAAUAUUUUUCACAUGACAAAAAUUCCAGAGUUGGCCAAUCUAGGGCUGGUGGCUCCACAAGGAAACAAAGGCUCCAGGCUCCAUCUCUUUCCUCAGCCAUCCUCUGUGUGCGGUUGCUGCUCAGGCCACAGUCGAUUACUUCUCCUCCAGCACUGUGCCCACAUUGUAGGCAAGAAGAAGGGCAGAACAGAGCAUGGUGGAGGAUGCCCUAUCUGAGUCUGCCCUGGUGCAGGAGCUCUCUUAGAAGUCCUGCACAACUUCCAUCUACACUUCAUGUGCCUGAAUUGGGUUGUCUGGUCAUCCCAUCUACAAGAGAGGCUGGAGAAUAUAGUUUUUAGCUGGGUAUGCCUCUGCUAGCAAAAGCAGAAUUCUGUUAGUAAGGAAUAAGAGGGAAGAGAUAUUGGAUUCAAUAGAUAUUGAAUUCUAUGUUAAAGGUAGAAUUCUGUUUGCUGCCUUUAGGUCUCACUUGCUAUUGCACAAGAUCAUUGUGAAGCUGGAAUUACAAAGUGGAUGUCUAUUAAACCCACCCCAGCCAACUCUGCCACACAUCAUGUUUUUCAUUUUCCAUCCAGUUGUCGUGAAGUCACACUAUACAAUCAUUAAGGGACGGGAGGAAUUUGUAAGCACCUGGGAGACCCAUCUCUCACAAUGUUUAUUUGAAAGACCAUUUAGCCAAUUCAAGAGACUGCGCUAUGAACAAUAAUUUGUCUUUUUAGAGGAGUGUGGCGGAAGUCAAGCCAUAAUGCUUUAUUUUGGGGAAUUUAUAUCAUUUCAUCCCUGGAUAGAUUUUAACACCACAUGUAGGAAAUAAAAACAAGAUUUUUUCUUGUUCUCAGAGCAUUUUGAGGACAAUAAUAUCUUUGAGAUCAGGUUUGGGUUGGUUUUCUCUAGUUCCUCUGCAAAUGUUAGCAAAAGCCUAUUGUGAUAAUGCUCAAAUCUCUGUGAGAAAAAUGAUGGUAAAACACAGCAGGAUGAUUUCCUCUGUAGGAAAUCCCCCCACCCCUGCAAAUAAAAAUCCCUCUCCAAAUAAAACUCAGUUAUAAAUGCCUUCUUCCCCUUCAUGCAAGUAGCACUUUGUCCCUCUACUCUUUUGUCUCAUAGUCGCUCUGCCUUCUGUUAGUUACUUUUGGAUCCAUUCCAUCUCUCCACUUCUCUCUCCACUAUACUAAAAUAACCUUAAAGGUCAGAGACUAAGACACUCAUCUUUUUAUUCCUCAUAGCUUCUAGACCAGUACUGCCCAGUAGAAAUAGAAUGAGUUACUAAAUUUUCUUCACACCAGAUGUUCUUAUAGCUACAUUAAAAAAGUAAAAAGAAAUAAGUAAAGUUAAUUUUAAUAAUAUAUUUUAUUUAGCCCAAUAUAUUCAAAAUAUGAUCAUUUCAACAUGUAAUCAAUAUAACACAAUUAUUGAGAUAUUUUACAUUCUUUU